Molecule: ribosomal RNA, 468 nt
Filed under: uncultured bacterium
Lineage: Bacteria
Description: partial 16S ribosomal RNA
Rfam family: Bacterial small subunit ribosomal RNA
Source: RNAcentral
GACGAACGCUGGCGGCAUGCUUAACACAUGCAAGUCGAACGGAAAGGCCCUGCUUGUGUGGGGUGCUCGAGUGGCAAACGGGUGAGUAACACGUGAGUAACCUGCCCUUGACUUUGUGAUAACUUCAGGCAACUGGGGCUACUACCGGAUAGGAGCUCCUGCUGCAGGGUGGGGGUUGGAACGUUUCGGCGGUGGGGGAUGGACUCGCGGCUUGUCAGCUGGUUGGUGGGGUAGUGGCUUACCCGGGCUUUGGCGGGUAGCCGGCCUGAGAGGGUGACCGGGCACAUUGGGACUGAGAGACGGACCAGAGUCCUACGGGAGGCAGUAGUGGGGAAUCUUGCACAACGGGCGGAAGCGUGAUGCAGAAACGCCGCGUUCGGGAUGACGGCUUUCUGGUUGUAAACCGCUUUCGCCUGUGACGAAGCGUGAGUGACGGUAAUGGGUAAAGAAGCACCGGCUAACUACGUG